UAGGAAACUAAGGGCGUACGGUGGAUGCCUUGACUAGAAGAUGGUGAUGAAGGACGCGGCUUGGCGGCGAUACGCUUCGGGGAGGUGCCUAGCAACCUUUGAUCCGAAGAUGUCCGAAUGGGGAAACCCGUCCCUCACAUGCUUGCAUGUGAGGGACACUCCAGCAAUUAGUUGGAGAAUACACCCAGUGAAGUAAAACAUUUCAGUAACUGGAGGAAAAGAAAACAAUUGUUAUUUCGUUAGUAGCGGCGAGCGAAAACGAAAAAGCCCAAACUCAGUUUCAUUCUUUGCCGAAUUCUUAAGGCCUUGCCUUGGAGGAUUCUAAAGGCAAGACCUUGAGGGCAAAGAAUGAUGCUGGGGGUUGUAAGGCGGAAAUGUCCCGACUUCGGUCGGGAGAAGAGUCAAAAAUUAUCUGGUUAGAAGAAGCUUCUGGAAAGAAGCACCCAAGAGGGUAAUAGUCCCGUAAUCGAAAAUCAGAUAACUCUUUUGUUUCCGUUCUUGAGUACCUCGAGACACGAAUAGCUCGGGGGAAUCUGCCGGAACUAACCGGUAAGGCUAAAUACACUUCUAGAUCGAUAGUGAACUAGUACCGUGAGGGAAAGGUGAAAAGAACCCCGGAAGGGGAGUGAAAUAGACCUGAAACCGUAUGCCUACAAGGAGUCGGAGCGGAUAUUUAUAUCCGUCACGGCGUGCCUAUUGAAGAAUGAGCCAACGAGUUAAUGCAUCGCGCUUGCCUAAGUGCCUAUAAAGCAUGGAGGCGUAGGGAAACCGAGUGCGAAUAGCGCGUUUAUCCUCCGAGCAAUCGAAGGAUUUGUGCGAUGCAUUAGACCCGAAGCCAGAGCGAGCUUGUCAUGAGCAGGGUGAACAGAGCCGAAAGGCUCUGGGAGGCCCGAACGGGUGAGCCGUGCAAUACUCUCCGAUGACUUGUGAUAAGAAGUGAAAAGCUAAUCGAGCCUGGUAAUAGCUGGUUCUCUCCGAAAGAGCUUUUGGGUUCGCGUCGAGUGUUCCUCACAGAGGUAGAGCACUGGAAGGUCUAGACAGGUCGAAAGAUCGCUAGACCUAUCAAACUCCGAAUUCUGUGAAUUAAUAGCUCGGCAGUUAGACUCCGGGGGCUAAGCUCCGGUGGUCAAAAGGGAAACAGCCCUG
This 1146-nucleotide ribosomal RNA is filed under the name Candidatus Zambryskibacteria bacterium RIFCSPHIGHO2_01_FULL_46_25. RNAcentral describes it as "bacterial LSU rRNA". It matches the Rfam family "Bacterial large subunit ribosomal RNA", at positions 1 to 1030 of the family's 2925-position model. The record is from RNAcentral. Lineage: Bacteria; Candidatus Zambryskiibacteriota.